CCGAUGGGUUCCUCUCCAAAGGCGGUCCUGCCGCCGCAAGAGGAUGGGGCUGCGUCCUAUUAGCUAGUUGGUGAGGUAACGGCCCACCAAGGCUUCGAUGGGUAGCUGGUCUGAGAGGACGACCAGCCACAUUGGGACUGAGAUACGGCCCAGACUCCUACGGGAGGCAGCAGUGGGGAAUCUUGGCCAAUGGACGAAAGUCUGAGCCAGCGACACCGCGUGGGGGAUGAAGGCCUUCGGGUCGUAAACCUCUUUUCUGGGGAAAGAAUAAGGACGGGAGGAAAUGCCCGCCCGAUGACGGUACUCCAGGAAUAAGCAUCGGCUAACUCUGUGCCAGCAGCCGCGGUAAGACAGAGGAUGCGAGCGUUAUCCAGAAUUACUGGGCGUAAAGGGCGUCUAGGCGGUUCGGUAAGUCGUUUGUGAAAUCCCUCGGCUCAACCGAGGAUGGUCUUGCGAUACUGCCGGGCUUGGGUGCAGGAGAGGAGAGUGGAACUCACAGAGUAGCGGUGGAAUGCGUAGAUACUGUGAGGUACCCCGAUGGCGAAGGCAACUCUCUGGCCUGCUACCGACGCUGAAGCGCGAAAGCGUGGGGAGCAAAGGGGAUUAGAUACCCCCGUAGUCCACGCCCUAAACAAUGUUCACUUGGUGUCGGCCGCUAUACUGGUCGGUGCCGAAGCUAACGCGUUAAGUGAACCGCCUGAGGAGUACGGCCGCAAGGCUAAAACUCAAGAGAAUUGACGGGUCCCUGCACAAGCGGUGGAGCACGUGGUUUAGUUCGAUGAUAAACGAAGAACCUCACCCAGGCUUGACAUACUAGUGGUAGGAACCUGAAAGGGGGACGACUCUGCCUUCGGGUAGAGAGCCAGUACAGGUGAUGCAUGGCUGUCGUCAGCUCGUGUCGUGGGAUGUUGGGUUCAGUCCCGAAACGAGCGCAACCCUUGUCGUUAGUUGCCAGCGGGUAAUGCCGGGGACUCUAACGAGACUGCUGGUGAAUAGCCGGAGGAAGGCGGGGAUGACGUCAAGUCAUCAUGUCCCUUACGCCUGGGGCGACACACAUGCUACAAUGGGGGGUACAGAGGGUCGCAAUCCCGCAAGGGGGAGCCAAUCCAUAAAAACCCCUCCCAGUACGGAUUGAGGUCUGCAACUCGACCUCAUGAAGCCGGAAUCGCUAGUAAUCGCGGGUCAGCCAUACCGCGGUGAAUAUGUACUCAGGGAUUGUACACACCGCCCGUCACACCAACCGAGUGGGGGGUACCUGAAGUCGCUCUUCUGAGGGCGCCUAGGGUAACUUCCGCAAGAGGGGUGAAGUCGUAACAAGGUA
RNAcentral lists this ribosomal RNA (1321 nucleotides) under metagenome. RNAcentral's name for it is "bacterial SSU rRNA". It matches the Rfam family "Bacterial small subunit ribosomal RNA", at positions 186 to 1498 of the family's 1533-position model. The record is from RNAcentral.